AUUGAACGCUGGCGGCAUGCUUUACACAUGCAAGUCGAACGGCAGCGCGGGCUUCGGCCUGGCGGCGAGUGGCGAACGGGUGAGUAAUACAUCGGAACGUGCCCAGUAGUGGGGGAUAGCUCGGCGAAAGCCGGAUUAAUACCGCAUACGACCUGAGGGUGAAAGCGGGGGAUCUUCGGACCUCGCGCUAUUGGCGCGGCCGAUGGCAGAUUAGCUAGUUGGUGGGGUAAAGGCCUACCAAGGCGACGAUCUGUAGCUGGUCUGAGAGGACGACCAGCCACACUGGAACUGAGACACGGCCCAGACUCCUACGGGAGGCAGCAGUGGGGAAUUUUGGACAAUGGGCGAAAGCCUGAUCCAGCAAUGCCGCGUGUGUGAUGAAGGCCUUCGGGUUGUAAAGCACUUUUGGCGGGAACGAAAAGGACUGUGCCAAUACCACGGUUCGAUGACGGUACCCGCAGAAUAAGCACCGGCUAACUACGUG
This 484-nucleotide ribosomal RNA is filed under the name uncultured bacterium. Its description in RNAcentral is "partial 16S ribosomal RNA". It matches the Rfam family "Bacterial small subunit ribosomal RNA", at positions 29 to 507 of the family's 1533-position model. The record is from RNAcentral.